GGUGGUUCUUGGGUGGCACACCCUGGAAUCGGCUCCCUCCUCUCUGGCUCUGGUUGAGUCACCAGAGAACCGUA
This is a non-coding RNA of Myotis davidii, 74 nucleotides long. Lineage: Eukaryota; Metazoa; Chordata; Mammalia; Chiroptera; Vespertilionidae. The record is from Rfam.